This 492-nucleotide ribosomal RNA is filed under the name uncultured bacterium. Its description in RNAcentral is "partial 16S ribosomal RNA". It matches the Rfam family "Bacterial small subunit ribosomal RNA", at positions 29 to 507 of the family's 1533-position model. The record is from RNAcentral.
AGUGAACGCUGGCGGUAGGCCUAACACAUGCAAGUCGAACGGCAGCACAGUAAGAGCUUGCUCUUACGGGUGGCGAGUGGCGGACGGGUGAGGAAUACAUCGGAAUCUACUUUUUCGUGGGGGAUAACGUAGGGAAACUUACGCUAAUACCGCAUACGACCUACGGGUGAAAGCAGGGGAUCUUCGGACCUUGCGCGAUUGAAGGAGCCGAUGUCGGAUUAGCUAGUUGGCGGGGUAAAGGCCCACCAAGGCGACGAUCCGUAGCUGGUCUGAGAGGAUGAUCAGCCACACUGGAACUGAGACACGGUCCAGACUCCUACGGGAGGCAGCAGUGGGGAAUCUUGGCCAAUGGGCGCAAGCCUGAUCCAGCCAUACCGCGUGGGUGAAGAAGGCCUUCGGGUUGUAAAGCCCUUUUGUUGGGAAAGAAAAGCAGCAGGUUAAUACCCCGCUGUUCUGACGGUACCCAAAGAAUAAGCACCGGCUAACUUCGUG